RNAcentral lists this ribosomal RNA (449 nucleotides) under uncultured bacterium. RNAcentral describes it as "partial 16S ribosomal RNA". It matches the Rfam family "Bacterial small subunit ribosomal RNA", at positions 354 to 796 of the family's 1533-position model. The record is from RNAcentral.
GUGGGGAAUCUUCCGCAAUGGACGAAAGUCUGACGGAGCGACGCCGCGUGAGUGAAGAAGGCCUUCGGGUCGUAAAGCUCUGUCAUCGGGGACGAACGGCCUCAGCAGGUAAUGGCUGGGGAUUGACGGUACCCGAGAAGGAAGCCACGGCUAACUACGUGCCAGCAGCCGCGGUAAUACGUAGGUGGCAAGCGUUGUCCGGAAUUAUUGGGCGUAAAGCGCGCGCAGGUGGGAUCUUAAGUCCAUUUUGAAAGUUCGGAGCUGAACUCCGUGAUGGGAUGGAAACUGGGAUUCUUGAGUACCGGAGAGGAAAGCGGAAUUCCCCGUGUAGCGGUGAAAUGCGUAGAUAUGGGGAGGAACACCAGUGGCGAAGGCGGCUUUCUGGACGGUGUCUGACACUGAGGCGCGAAAGCCAGGGGAGCGAACGGGAUUAGAAACCCUGGUAGUCC